GUAGGGAAUAUUGCGCAAUGGACGAAGGUCUGACGCAGCGACGCCGCGUGAGUGAUGAAGGCCUUAGGGUCGUAAAGCUCUGUUGAAUGGGAAGAAAAAAAUGACGGUACCAUUCGAGGAAGGACCGGCUAACUUCGUGCCAGCAGCCGCGGUAAUACGAGGGGUCCUAGCGUUGUUCGGAAUCAUUGGGCGUAAAGGGUGUGUAGGUGGUCAUGUAAGUCAGGUGUGAAAGCCCCGGGCUCAACCCGGGAAGUGCACUUGAUACUGCGUGGCUUGAGUACCGAAGAGGGUAGUGGAAUUCCAGGUGUAGUGGUGAAAUACGUAGAUAUCUGGAGGAACACCGGUGGCGAAGGCGACUACCUGGUCGAGUACUGACACUGAGACACGAAAGCAUGGGGAUCAAACAGGAUUAGAUACCCGAGUAGUCC
This 428-nucleotide ribosomal RNA is filed under the name uncultured bacterium. RNAcentral's name for it is "partial 16S ribosomal RNA". It matches the Rfam family "Bacterial small subunit ribosomal RNA", at positions 354 to 796 of the family's 1533-position model. The record is from RNAcentral.